This 495-nucleotide ribosomal RNA is filed under the name uncultured bacterium. Its description in RNAcentral is "partial 16S ribosomal RNA". It matches the Rfam family "Bacterial small subunit ribosomal RNA", at positions 28 to 507 of the family's 1533-position model. The record is from RNAcentral.
GACGAACGCUGGCGGCGUGCCUAAUACAUGCAAGUAGAACGCUGAAGGAGGAGCUUGCUUCUCUGGAUGAGUUGCGAACGGGUGAGUAACGCGUAGGUAACCUGCCUGGUAGCGGGGGAUAACUAUUGGAAACGAUAGCUAAUACCGCAUAAGAGUAGAUGUUGCAUGACAUUUGCUUAAAAGGUGCACUUUCAUCACUACCAGAUGGACCUGCGUUGUAUUAGCUAGUUGGUGAGGUAAUGGCUCACCAAGGACACGAUACAUCGCCGACCUGAGGGGGGGAUCGGCCCACAUGGGACUGAGACACGGCCCAGAACCCUAAGGGGAGCAGCAGUAGGGAAUCUUCGGCAAUGGACGGAAGGCUGAACGAGCAACGCCGCGUGAGGGAAGAAGGGUUUCGGAUCGGAAAGCUCUGUUGUAAGAGAAGAACGAGUGUGAGAGUGGAAAGUUCACACUGUGACGGUACCUUACCAGAAAGGGACGGCUAACUACGUG